Dama dama (fallow deer) is the source of this 521-nucleotide long non-coding RNA. RefSeq lists it as uncharacterized. NCBI's taxonomy places the organism in Eukaryota, Metazoa, Chordata, Mammalia, Artiodactyla, Cervidae. The transcript has 3 exons. The record is from RefSeq and is a predicted model, not a curated record.
UGCCCUCCGGCCGCAGUACGCAGGCGCACGCCUAGACCUCGGCUCUUCACCUCUGUCCCUGCCCAGGGGCGGGCUUUUGGAAUUUAGGCUGGGACGGUGCGGACAUCUGGAAACUAGUCACAUGUCUGGGCGAAGGGUAUUAAUAAAUUAACCGGGAUUGGUGCCCUGUGGCUGCCCCUAUUGGCAAGAUACAAAGAACAAACCGUUCAUCCUUGACCAGAUCUUCAUUGUCGUGUGUGGGAUCUUUAGUUGUGGCACAUGGGACCUAGUUUGCCAAGCAGGGAUUGCACUUGUGCCCCAUGCAUUGGGAGCUUGGAGUCUUAACCACUGGACCACCAGGAACUAAAACUGAAAAAGACACGUGUACGCCAAUGUUCCUUGCAGCACUGUUUACAAUGGCCAAGACAUGGAGGCAACCUAGAUGUCCAUUGACCAAUGAAUGGAUAAAGAAACUGUGGUACAUAUAUACAAUGGAAUACUACUCAGUCAUAAAAAGGAACACAUAUGAGUCAAGACUAAUG